RNAcentral lists this ribosomal RNA (425 nucleotides) under uncultured bacterium. Its description in RNAcentral is "partial 16S ribosomal RNA". It matches the Rfam family "Bacterial small subunit ribosomal RNA", at positions 354 to 796 of the family's 1533-position model. The record is from RNAcentral.
GUGGGGAAUCUUGCGCAAUGGGCGAAAGCCUGACGCAGCCAUGCCGCGUGGAUGAUGAAGGUCUUAGGAUUGUAAAAUCCUUUCACCGGUGAAGAUAAUGACUGUAGCCGGAGAAGAAGCCCCGGCUAACUUCGUGCCAGCAGCCGCGGGAAUACGAAGGGGGCUAGCGUUGCUCGGAUUUACUGGGCGUAAAGGGCGCGUAGGCGGACAUUUAAGUCAGGGGUGAAAUCCCGGGGCUCAACCUCGGAACUGCCUUGGAUACUGGGUGUCUUGAGUAUGAGAGAGGUGUGUGGAACUCCGAGUGUAGAGGUGAAAUUCGUAGAUAUUCGGAAGAACACCAGUGGCGAAGGCGACACACUGGCUCAUUACUGACGCUGAGGCGCGAAAGCGUGGGGAGCAAACAGGAUUAGAUACCCGAGUAGUCC